This 72-nucleotide transfer RNA is filed under the name Camelus bactrianus (Bactrian camel). It matches the Rfam family "tRNA". From Rfam's summary of the family: Transfer RNA (tRNA) molecules are approximately 80 nucleotides in length. Their secondary structure includes four short double-helical elements and three loops (D, anti-codon, and T loops). The record is from Rfam by way of RNAcentral. RNAcentral also lists the same sequence under 1 other name. Lineage: Eukaryota; Metazoa; Chordata; Mammalia; Artiodactyla; Camelidae.
GUGGGUAUAGCUCAGUGGUAGAACACAUGCUGAGCACACAUGAGGUCCUGGGGUCAAUUCCCAGUACCUCCA